UGCCAGCCGCCGCGGUAAUACGGGGGAUGCAAGCGUUAUUCGGAAUCAUUGGGCGUAAAGGGCACGCAGGCGGUCUUGUCAGUCAGAUGUGAAAGCCCGGGGCUCAACCUCGGACGUGCAUUUGAAACAGCAAGACUUGAGUACGGUAGAGGAAAGCGGAAUUCCUGGUGUAGAGGUGAAAUCCGUAGAUAUUCGGAGGAACACCAGUGGCGGAGGCGGCUUUCUGGACCAAUACUGACGCUGAGAUGCGAAAGCGUGGGGAGCGAACAGGAUUAGAUA
Molecule: ribosomal RNA, 279 nt
Filed under: uncultured bacterium
Lineage: Bacteria
Description: partial 16S ribosomal RNA
Rfam family: Bacterial small subunit ribosomal RNA
Source: RNAcentral